CAGCGACUGAAAGCAAUUACGGGAUGAGUGUCCAAGAGACAAAGCCUGGGCCUUGGGAGUCACCAGGCUGCAUCUCUUUCCCAGCUCUGCCCCCUGGCACUUCCAUAUAGACGCCACUUCCCUUGCUCUGCAGCUCGACUUCCCCUUCUGUAAAAACUGACCCAGCGGGGCCUGUCACCUGCCAAUGCCUCCAAGGCAGCCUGCUUACAGACUAUCGGGCAGGCACACAUUCUUACAUGGAGCCUCACGAUAGCUCAGGAGAUCCUCCUGCAGCAACGACUCCCUCGACUGUGACAGAAAAACGACGUAGGUUCCCAGCCACAGGAUCCACCCAGCGGCUGCGUCCACCCCUCCCCACCCUAUCAAGCCAGCACUGGAGACAGAGGAAAUGAGGAAAAGGCAAAGGUGGAAGAAACAGUCAUUAAGCACAUACCAAUGCAUGUGCAAGCAUUUUUACAGACAUUAUCACAGGCAGCUUUCUCAACCGCAUCCAUCCCCGGUUCACACCUCGGGACAAUGGACACGCCCAGCAGCAAGAUGAUUUUCUUGAAAAAUUCUGGAUAACAAGUUAACAAGCGGCAGGGCCACAGUCUGACCUCAGGCUUCUCACAGCAAAGUCAGCACACCUCCUUCUUCCUGCAGCUCUUGCUAACCCACUUCCCUG
This 664-nucleotide long non-coding RNA is filed under the name Capra hircus (goat). RNAcentral's name for it is "lncRNA (ENSCHIG00000000881.1)". Lineage: Eukaryota; Metazoa; Chordata; Mammalia; Artiodactyla; Bovidae. The record is from RNAcentral.